Long non-coding RNA from Monodelphis domestica (gray short-tailed opossum), 1006 nucleotides. RefSeq lists it as uncharacterized. Lineage: Eukaryota; Metazoa; Chordata; Mammalia; Didelphimorphia; Didelphidae. The record is from RefSeq and is a predicted model, not a curated record.
UAGUAUUGUGGAAAUAUGGCAGCUAUAGAACUCACUUUUAUUGUCUUCCUGAUAGUUCUUUAUUUGUUUGCAUGCAACAUCUGACUACCACUCUUUGCAACUAAUACAUCAUUCCUUUAAGGUUUCUUCAACUUCUAGGCCCCAACUUCUUGUAGGUAAUUGCAUCAGCGGCCACUUCACCUAUACUACCAAACCACCAUUUCUACUACUUGACAGAGCCAUAAUUCAGGAAUUAUGAUUGGGGAUUUGCCCCAGAAGGGCCUAGAAUAGUCAAUGUCCAGGAAUGUAAUUCCUCCUCAUCAAGGUUCUAUAAUUCCUCUCCCUUUGAGUUUUCCAGAGGUCCUACACUGGUACAAUCAACCUCCAUCCCUCUUCAGAGGUUUUACAGCCAGUUCUAACACUCCUAUUGGGACUGAAUGCAUCUCCACAAGCCUACCUUUACCCACUGCUACAAACCCAAUUGGUGCCACCAUCUCCAGGGACCUGGAGGAGAGUCAAACAUACCACUAGGACUCAGGUCAGGCUCUACUGGGUAUUUGUAAAGGAAAACAGUAGACUUGAGACCUUAUCCAAUAUAGACCUGGGAUCUGAGUGAGAGAAGAAAAUGUCCCAUAGUUACCAUGUUCUAGUAGGUUUGAAGAGACACUCCACUGAAUGAAUGAAAACCACACGAUUUUCAAGAGGAUUCUUUUUUUCUGGAUCACAUUCCUUACAUCAAAUCUUUAGAAAAAGAAUCUUUGAAGAGGUCAAGUCUCUUAUCAAGGAUUGAACUUUGAUAGACUACUUCUUAAUGGGCCUUUGGCUAGAAAGUUUGUCAUGUCUAAACAGUUAAGUAGAGUUAAUUCUGGUCAGUGCCUGGAUGGAGGCUCUUCAAAGAAAAUCAGAGUGUUGUCUUAAAAAGCAGUACUUCAAAAGAUGGAGAAACUAAGGCUUACAGAGAUCAAGAGACUUGCUGAAAAUCACAUGUAGUAAGUCAAUCAGUUAGACAAUAAAUAUUGAGUAAACA